RNAcentral lists this unclassified non-coding RNA (238 nucleotides) under uncultured fungus. RNAcentral describes it as "sequence contains ITS1". The record is from RNAcentral. Lineage: Eukaryota; Fungi.
UAUAUAUAUAUUUCCAACAAACAUUCUAACGACAUUCAGAGAUUGUGAAAACAACAUAGACCUGGAGAAAAAUGCAAGGAAAGCCCACAUGGCAAUCCUCAAUCCAGGGGUCUACAAUAUGUGCACAGUUGGGAGAAACAAAGAUGACAAGCGUGCACUUACCCCACGAGGGGGGCCAGCAAAACAGCCUGUUCAAGUUUAUUCGAUAAUGAUCCUUCCGCAGGUUCACCUACGGAAA